GGCGGGCAUGCCUGUUCGAGCGUCAUUU
Molecule: ribosomal RNA, 28 nt
Filed under: Thermothelomyces thermophilus
Lineage: Eukaryota; Fungi; Ascomycota; Sordariomycetes; Sordariales; Chaetomiaceae
Description: partial 5.8S ribosomal RNA
Source: RNAcentral